Molecule: ribosomal RNA, 1746 nt
Filed under: Marteilia sydneyi
Lineage: Eukaryota; Endomyxa; Ascetosporea; Paramyxida; Marteiliidae
Description: partial 18S small subunit ribosomal RNA
Rfam family: Eukaryotic small subunit ribosomal RNA
Source: RNAcentral
CCCCCCUGAACUAGCGUUCAAGACUAAGCCAUGCAAGUGUAAGCUCAUGACGUUAUCGUCGAAGCCGCAGACGGCUCCGUACAAGGCAGUUAAUCUACGGUCCAGCGAAAUUCCUUACGGAUAUCUCUGGUAAGCUAGAGCCAAUACGUGUGACAAAUUCUCCGGUUUUCGCGAACCGGGGUGCAGUUAUCGGACCGAAGCGCGCAGACGUUCGCGUUUGCGUUCAGGUGACUCUGGAUAACCUUGCCGACCGCGAGACUUGCUCGACGGCGUGGACCACGAGACUGCCACCUAUCAACUUUUGACGGUAGGGUAUUGGCCUACGGUGGUUGCAACGGGUACGGGGAAUCAGGGUUCGAUUCCGGAGAGUAGGCCUGAGAAACGGCCGCCAUUGCCACGGCACACAGCAGGUGCGCAAAUUUGUCAAUAUUCGAACGAAUGAACGAGUGAGAACGUAUUGUCGGGUGGAACGAAAUUCGUUACCGCCACGUCGAUGAGACUAGUCCAAAAAGCUAGUCGAACACCGCUGGAGGGCAAGUCUGGUGCCAGCAGCCGCGGUAAUUCCAGCUCCGGGAGUUCACGGGAUUAUUGCUGAGACUAAAACGUCCGUAGUCGAAACUAGGACCUCCGAUGGUCGUUUUUCGAUCCUCGUAUGGAUCGGAUGGGACUAUCGGCGGCACGACCCUCGUGGCGACCGAAAGGCCGUCGCUGGGUCCGCAUCCUUGACCUAAACCAAACGAUCGAAGUGAGCUCGUGCUCGAUGGUUUUGCAUGGAAUCGUGGAACGGGGCCGGCAUCCUUAGCUUCGAGGAUGCCGGCGACGAUCAACGGGAGCGAUCAGAGGUGAGGGAACUGCAGGGCGAGGGGUAAAAUCUAGUGAGCCUUGCAAGACCACCGAAAGCGAAAGCAUUCACCAGGAGCGUUUCCGUCGAUAAAGGACCGAAGCCACCGUAGUGAACUGGAUUAGAUACCCAGGUAUCGGUGUGCCCCAAACUAUGCCGACCGGUCGGAUGCUCGAUCUACCAUACGUGGCGGGUAUCCGGUCCGAGGAAGCUGGAGCGAUUUGGCUUCUGGGAGAUUACGGCUGCAAAGUUGAAACUUAAAGGAAUUGACGGAAGGGCACCAUCAGGCCUGGAUUAUGUGGCUCAAUUGGACUCGACGCCCAGUACUCAACCAGGACCGGAGCGCCCGACGAAGCACGGCUCGAAUAGCCUUGCCGAUGAGCGUGCGGGUGGUGCAUGGCCGCCGUAGUUCGUGAGGUGACUUGUCUGGUUAAUUCCGACAACGGACGCAACCGCCCUGUUCGAAUAUCGUGCGAUCGGCGCUUCGGUACGUCUCGCGCUGGAAACUCGAACAGACUAACUCGUGGAGUGGGAUAUUACCGCGACCGAGAGGAAGCUACGGCGAUGGCAGGUCUGUGAUGCCCCUAGAAGCCCUGGGUUGCACACGUCAUACAAUGCCCGUCAGAACGCGCUUUCGCCGUGCCGAAAGGUACGGCUUAAUCGUCGUAAAAGCGGGCCCGGUUGGGAUCGAGGAUUGCAACUGUUCCUCGUGAACAAGGAACGCCUCGUAGUGGCGGGUCAUCAACUCGCCGCGAAUAAGUCCCUGUCCUUUGUACACACCGCCCGUCACUACAGCCAAUGUAUCGUCAGCGUCAAGCAGCUGGACGGACUUCGUUUCGACGCGGUCCGAAAAGCUUCUGAACGUCGAUGGUGGGAGGGUGUAAAAGUCGUAACACGGUCCCCGU